RNAcentral lists this long non-coding RNA (209 nucleotides) under Elaeis guineensis (African oil palm). RNAcentral describes it as "long non-coding RNA (EGUI_LNC003859)". The record is from RNAcentral. Lineage: Eukaryota; Viridiplantae; Streptophyta; Magnoliopsida; Arecales; Arecaceae.
UGCACUUUUUGCUCACCUUUUGAUUUCAUGGUAGAUCUCAAAGCAUAGAUAUUCUUUCUCUUUUAUCUUUCUCUUAAAUUGAUUUUGGAGGCCUUUACAUCAUGAAGAAUGGCUAGAGAAAGAGUUUUGAUCAUUGGAGAUUGUUGGAGAGUUGUUGGGAUGCCUUAAAUAUGGAUAGCUCAUACCAGAACUAACUGUCACUGUGUUGC